AGGACUGACGAGUCCAAAAUAGGACGAAACGCGCGUAUUGGAU
RNAcentral lists this non-coding RNA (43 nucleotides) under Schistosoma margrebowiei. The record is from RNAcentral. Lineage: Eukaryota; Metazoa; Platyhelminthes; Trematoda; Strigeidida; Schistosomatidae.